This 270-nucleotide unclassified non-coding RNA is filed under the name Hevea brasiliensis (rubber tree). The record is from RNAcentral. Lineage: Eukaryota; Viridiplantae; Streptophyta; Magnoliopsida; Malpighiales; Euphorbiaceae.
UUUAGCACGUCCGGCGUUCCUCUGAACGAUUGCCAGAAGCUUUAAUAGCAGCGGAGAAUAAGGAGAGAGAGGAGAAUCGCACGAGUAGACCACAACUUCUUGACACUAUUUCAGGCGUUAUGUGGUAGCCAAAUCCAACGAUACUUGUUUCAAUCGACUCGAAACUCCUUAUGAUCCCAACUUUCUUUUGCAACUGACGAAAUUCAAUUUCAUGGCUGGAGGAGAAAGACAGAAAAGGGAGGAGUUUCGGACAUUUGAAGCUUCCAAGGC